RNAcentral lists this ribosomal RNA (322 nucleotides) under uncultured eukaryote. Its description in RNAcentral is "partial 18S ribosomal RNA". It matches the Rfam family "Eukaryotic small subunit ribosomal RNA", at positions 1470 to 1796 of the family's 1831-position model. The record is from RNAcentral.
CCCUUAGAUGUUCUGGGCCGCACGCGCGCUACACUGAUGCAUUCAACGAGCCUAGCCUUGACCGAGAGGUCCGGGUAAUCUUUGAAACUGCAUCGUGAUGGGGCUAGAUUAUUGCAAUUAUUAAUCUUCAACGAGGAAUGCCUUGUAAUCGUGAUUCAUCACAUCACGAUGAAUACGUCCCUGCCCUUUGUACACACCGCCCGUCGCUCCUACCGAUCGAAGAGUUAGGUGAAUUGUUUUGAUCGAUAAGAUUUGACUAUGGUCAACUCUCGUUGUGAAAUUCUGUGAAUCUGACUGUUUAGAGGAAGGAAAAGUCGUAACA